Phanerochaete sordida is the source of this 71-nucleotide non-coding RNA. NCBI's taxonomy places the organism in Eukaryota, Fungi, Basidiomycota, Agaricomycetes, Polyporales, Phanerochaetaceae. The record is from the annotation of a GenBank genome assembly.
AAGAGUAUAGUAUAAUGGUAGUAUAUUGGUCUCCAAAACCUUAGGUAGGUGUUCGAUUCACCUUGCUCUUG